RNAcentral lists this ribosomal RNA (1343 nucleotides) under uncultured bacterium. RNAcentral describes it as "16S ribosomal RNA". It matches the Rfam family "Bacterial small subunit ribosomal RNA", at positions 28 to 1378 of the family's 1533-position model. The record is from RNAcentral.
GACGAACGCUGGCGGCGUGCUUAACACAUGCAAGUCGAACGGAAAGGCCCUGCUUUUGUGGGGUGCUCGAGUGGCGAACGGGUGAGUAACACGUGAGUAACCUGCCCUUGACUUUGGGAUAACUUCAGGAAACUGGGGCUAAUACCGGAUAGGAGCUCCUGCUGCAUGGUGGGGGUUGGAAAGUUUCGGCGGUUGGGGAUGGACUCGCGGCUUAUCAGCUUGUUGGUGGGGUAGUGGCUUACCAAGGCUUUGACGGGUAGCCGGCCUGAGAGGGUGACCGGCCACAUUGGGACUGAGAUACGGCCCAGACUCCUACGGGAGGCAGCAGUGGGGAAUAUUGCACAAUGGGCGGAAGCCUGAUGCAGCAACGCCGCGUGCGGGAUGACGGCCUUCGGGUUGUAAACCGCUUUCGCCUGUGACGAAGCGUGAGUGACGGUAAUGGGUAAAGAAGCACCGGCUAACUACGUGCCAGCAGCCGCGGUGAUACGUAGGGUGCGAGCGUUGUCCGGAUUUAUUGGGCGUAAAGGGCUCGUAGGUGGUUGAUCGCGUCGGAAGUGUAAUCUUGGGGCUUAACCCUGAGCGUGCUUUCGAUACGGGUUGACUUGAGGAAGGUAGGGGAGAAUGGAAUUCCUGGUGGAGCGGUGGAAUGCGCAGAUAUCAGGAGGAACACCAGUGGCGAAGGCGGUUCUCUGGGCCUUUCCUGACGCUGAGGAGCGAAAGCGUGGGGAGCGAACAGGCUUAGAUACCCUGGUAGUCCACGCUGUAAACGGUGGGUACUAGGUGUGGGGUCCAUUCCACGGGUUCCGUGCCGUAGCUAACGCUUUAAGUACCCCGCCUGGGGAGUACGGCCGCAAGGCUAAAACUCAAAGGAAUUGACGGGGCCCCGCACAAGCGGCGGAGCAUGCGGAUUAAUUCGAUGCAACGCGUAGAACCUUACCUGGGUUUGACAUGGAUCGGGAGUGCUCAGAGAUGGGUGUGCCUCUUUUGGGGUCGGUUCACAGGUGGUGCAUGGCUGUCGUCAGCUCGUGUCGUGAGAUGUUGGGUUAAGUCCCGCAACGAGCGCAACCCUUGUUCACUGUUGCCAGCACGUUAUGGUGGGGACUCAGUGGAGACCGCCGGGGUCAACUCGGAGGAAGGUGGGGAUGACGUCAAGUCAUCAUGCCCCUUAUGUCCAGGGCUUCACGCAUGCUACAAUGGCUGGUACAGAGAGUGGCGAGCCUGUGAGGGUGAGCGAAUCCCGGAAAGCCGGUCUCAGUUCGGAUUGGGGUCUGCAACUCGACCUCAUGAAGUCGGAGUCGCUAGUAAUCGCAGAUCAGCAACGCUGCGGUGAAUACGUUCCCGGG